This 435-nucleotide ribosomal RNA is filed under the name uncultured bacterium. Its description in RNAcentral is "partial 16S ribosomal RNA". It matches the Rfam family "Bacterial small subunit ribosomal RNA", at positions 28 to 507 of the family's 1533-position model. The record is from RNAcentral.
GAUGAACGCUGGCGGUAUGCUUAACACAUGCAAGUCGAACGGACUCUUCGGAGUUAGUGGCGGACGGGUGAGUAACGCGUAAGAAUCUGGCUUUGGGUUCGGGACAACCACUGGAAACGGUGGCUAAUACCGGAUGUGCCGAGAGGUAAAAGAGAAAUUGCCUGAAGAUGAGCUCGCGUCUGAUUAGCUAGUUGGUGAGGUAAAGGCUCACCAAGGCAGCGAUCAGUAGCUGGUCUGAGAGGAUGACCAGCCACACUGGGACUGAGACACGGCCCAGACUCCUACGGGAGGCAGCAGUGGGGAAUUUUCCGCAAUGGGCGAAAGCCUGACGGAGCAAUACCGCGUGAGGGAAGAAGGCUCUUGGGUUGUAAACCUCUUUUCUUAGGGAAGAACAAAAUGACGGUACCUAAGGAAUCAGCAUCGGCUAACUCCGUG